This 468-nucleotide ribosomal RNA is filed under the name uncultured bacterium. RNAcentral's name for it is "partial 16S ribosomal RNA". It matches the Rfam family "Bacterial small subunit ribosomal RNA", at positions 28 to 507 of the family's 1533-position model. The record is from RNAcentral.
GACGAACGCUGGCGGCGUGCUUAACACAUGCAAGUCGAACGGAAAGGCCCUGCUUUUGUGGGGUGCUCGAGUGGCGAACGGGUGAGUAACACGUGAGUAACCUGCCCUUGACUUUGGGAUAACUUCAGGAAACUGGGGCUAAUACCGGAUAGGAGCUCCUGCUGCAUGGUGGGGGUUGGAAAGUUUCGGCGGUUGGGGAUGGACUCGCGGCUUAUCAGCUUGUUGGUGGGGUAGUGGCUUACCAAGGCUUUGACGGGUAGCCGGCCUGAGAGGGUGACCGGGCACAUUGGGACUGGGAUACGGGCCAGACUCCUACGGGAGGCAGCAGUGGGGAAUAUUGCACAAUGGGCGGAAGCCUGAUGCAGCAACGCCGCGUGCGGGAUGACGGCCUUCGGGUUGGAAACCGCUUUCGCCUGUGACGAAGCGUGAGUGACGGUAAUGGGUAAAGAAGCACCGGCUAACUACGUG